RNAcentral lists this ribosomal RNA (495 nucleotides) under uncultured bacterium. RNAcentral describes it as "bacterial SSU rRNA". It matches the Rfam family "Bacterial small subunit ribosomal RNA", at positions 1 to 522 of the family's 1533-position model. The record is from RNAcentral.
UAGAGUUUGAUCCUGGCUCAGAUUGAACGCUGGCGGCAGGCCUAACACAUGCAAGUCGAGCGGAUGAGAGGAGCUUGCUCCUUGAUUUAGCGGCGGACGGGUGAGUAAUGCCUAGGAAUCUGCCUGGUAGUGGGGGAUAACGUCCGGAAACGGGCGCUAAUACCGCAUACGUCCUACGGGAGAAAGCAGGGGACCUUCGGGCCUUGCGCUAUCAGAUGAGCCUAGGUCGGAUUAGCUAGCUGGUGAGGUAAUGGCUCACCAAGGCGACGAUCCGUAACUGGUCUGAGAGGAUGAUCAGUCACACUGGAACUGAGACACGGUCCAGACUCCUACGGGAGGCAGCAGUGGGGAAUCUUGCACAAUGGGCGAAAGCCUGAUGCAGCCAUGCCGCGUGAAUGAUGAAGGCCUUAGGGUUGUAAAAUUCUUUCGUCAGGGAUGAUAAUGACCGUACCUGAAGAAGAAGCACCGGCCAACUACGUGCCAGCAGCCGCGGUA